AGCUCUCUGUAUAGUGAUGCCCACAUUUUUGUCUGUAAAGAGAUAAUUUGUCGCUAAAGCUGAAACGUUGAUGUUCGCUAUUUGAAAGUCCUUAAAUCUCUUGAAAACAAACCUUAACUUAUGAUGUGUUGUACGAAUUGUUUCAGUGCUUGAAAUGAGUUUACCAAAGCCUUAGGUUACAUAAGAUUAAAAC
Long non-coding RNA from Etheostoma spectabile (orangethroat darter), 193 nucleotides. RefSeq lists it as uncharacterized. The transcript is spliced from 3 exons. The record is from RefSeq and is a predicted model, not a curated record. NCBI's taxonomy places the organism in Eukaryota, Metazoa, Chordata, Actinopteri, Perciformes, Percidae.